RNAcentral lists this unclassified non-coding RNA (362 nucleotides) under uncultured bacterium. RNAcentral's name for it is "contains 16S-23S intergenic spacer region". The record is from RNAcentral.
UCCCGAUUACUCGGGCAGUCUCCUCUGAAAAUCCAACAGAGGACGAGGGUUUCGCUCGUUCAAGGACUUAACCUCACAGCUCACGCCACGAGCUGACGACGACCGUGCAAUACCUGUCUUAGAGUUCCUUACGGCACAGCACUAUUUCUAGCGCCUUCUCUAGAUGUCAAACCCUGGAUAAGGUUUCUCGGUUAUUGUCGAAUUAAACCACAUGCUCCACCACUUGUGCGAGCCCCCGCCAAUUCUUUUGAGUUUUAGCCUUGCGGCCGUACUUCCCAGGCGGUCAACUUGACGCGUUAGCUUCGCAACAGAAAGGGUCGACUCUUCCUAUUGCUAGUUGACAUAGUUUACAGCGUGGACUA